GAUGAACGCUGGCGGCGUGCCUAAUACAUGCCAGUCGAGCGAACGGACGAGAAGCUUGCUUCUCUGAUGUUAGCGGCGGACGGGUGAGUAACACGUGGAUAACCUACCUAUAAGACUGGGAUAACUUCGGGAAACCGGAGCUAAUACCGGAUGAUAUUUUGAACCGCAUGGUUCAAAAGUGAAAGACGGUCUUGCUGUCACUUAUAGAUGGAUCCGCGCUGCAUUAGCUAGUUGGUAAGGUAACGGCUUACCAAGGCAACGAUGCAUAGCCGACCUGAGAGGGUGAUCGGCCACACUGGAACCGAGACACGGUCCAGACUCCUACGGGAGGCAGCAGUAGGGAAUCUUCCGCAAUGGGCGAAAGCCUGACGGAGCAACGCCGCGUGAGUGAUGAAGGUCUUCGGAUCGUAAAACUCUGUUAUUAGGGAAGAACAUAUGUGUAAGUAACUGUGCACAUCUUGACGGUACCUAAUCAGAAAGCCACGGCUAACUACGUG
RNAcentral lists this ribosomal RNA (497 nucleotides) under uncultured bacterium. RNAcentral's name for it is "partial 16S ribosomal RNA". It matches the Rfam family "Bacterial small subunit ribosomal RNA", at positions 28 to 507 of the family's 1533-position model. The record is from RNAcentral.